This 303-nucleotide ribosomal RNA is filed under the name uncultured bacterium. RNAcentral describes it as "bacterial SSU rRNA". It matches the Rfam family "Bacterial small subunit ribosomal RNA", at positions 30 to 332 of the family's 1533-position model. The record is from RNAcentral.
AUUGAACGCUGGCGGCAUGCCUUACACAUGCAAGUCGAACGGUAACGCGGGGCAACCUGGCGACGAGUGGCGAACGGGUGAGUAAUGCAUCGGAACGUGCCCAGUAGUGGGGGAUAGCCCGGCGAAAGCCGGAUUAAUACCGCAUACGACCUACGGGUGAAAGGGGGGAGUCGCAAGACCUCUCGCUAUUGGAGCGGCCGAUGUCAGAUUAGGUAGUUGGUGGGGUAAAGGACCUACCAAGCCUGUGAUCUGUAGCUGGUCGUGAGAGGACGACCAGCCACACUGGGACGUGAGACACGGCCC